This 719-nucleotide long non-coding RNA is filed under the name Solanum tuberosum (potato). RNAcentral's name for it is "long non-coding RNA (STUB_LNC000620)". The record is from RNAcentral. Lineage: Eukaryota; Viridiplantae; Streptophyta; Magnoliopsida; Solanales; Solanaceae.
GAUGGCAGAGUACGGGUCAGAAGGGAUAGUGUCAACUAUGGGAGAUGUUUACAGCUACGGCAUUUUAUUGAUGGAAACCUUCACAAGAAAGAAGCCAGUAGAUGAUGAGUUUGUUGGAGACCUUACCUUGAAGAGAUGGGUCGCGGAGUCAUAUCCUCAUAGAGUCAGGGACAUUGUGGAUGCUAAUUUAUUUUCAACAGAUGAUAGCUAUUGAAAGUUGUUUGAGAUCGGUAUUGGAUGUAGCUCUUGAAUGUACUGGAUCCUUCUUCCAUGGGUGAAAUAAAGUUUUCUAAAUUCCUUCUCACAUUGCAAGUACUUGAAAUUUUUAAUGAUUGGAGACAACCAAUUUAAUGGCAUUCUUCCGAAAUCAUCCUUAACUAAUAUGUCGUUGUCUCUUGAUCGAUUCAUCGCAUUGACAAAAACCUUAGGCACCAUUGGCUACAUGGCACCAGGUACUGAUCAAUUUUUUAUUUACUAAUUACUUUCUUUAACUUGUAUUCUAUAUGCAUUUAUGAUGAUGGCAGAGUACGGGUCAGAAGGGAUAGUGUCAACUAUGGGAGAUGUUUACAGCUACGGCAUUUUAUUGAUGGAAACCUUCACAAGAAAGAAGCCAGUAGAUGAUGAGUUUGUUGGAGACCUUACAUUGAAGAGUUGGGUCGCGGAGUCAUAUCCUCAUAGAGUCAUGGACAUUGUGGAUGCUAAUUUAUUUUCAACAGAUG